This 253-nucleotide ribosomal RNA is filed under the name uncultured bacterium. Its description in RNAcentral is "partial 16S ribosomal RNA". It matches the Rfam family "Bacterial small subunit ribosomal RNA", at positions 524 to 776 of the family's 1533-position model. The record is from RNAcentral.
UACGUAGGGACCAAGCGUUGUUCGGAUUUACUGGGCGUAAAGGGCGCGUAGGCGGCGUGACAAGUCACUUGUGAAAUCUCUGAGCUUAACUCAGAACGGCCAAGUGAAAUUGUUGUGCUAGAGUGCAGAAGGGGCAAUCGGAAUUCUUGGUGUAGCGGUGAAAUGCGUAGAUAUCAAGAGGAACACCUGAGGUGAAGACGGGUUGCUGGGCUGACACUGACGCUGAGGCGCGAAAGCCAGGGGAGCAAACGGG